UUGAGUGUCGUGAGCCGCCUCUCUGCACACGCCCCGCAGCCAAGGGCGGACACCACCACCUCGCGCUGGGACCUCCCGUCUGCGAAGGGCGGUGCGAGGCCCCUGCACGCGGCAGCCCCUGAGCCAGUGACACCAGAGGAGGCGUGGAGGAAAAGGAAACCAAAAAGAUGAUCUUACCAGCAAAGGAGGUCCGGAUCCAGGGAACACGAGGACAUCAAAUUCAAAGCCGUGUUGAACCUCAGCUGUGACUCCCAGGAUCGGCCACUCGAUUAUCUGGGACUGUUCCUGCAUCUAUUUGUACAUGCAUCUUCCAUCCCAUUCCAAAAAAAAUAUUAUCGAGCACCUAAUGUGUGCCAGUGUGAAGACACGGAAUUGAAGAAAAUGGACAAAUUCAAGUAGCUUUUAUUCUAAGGGAGGGAAUUAGGCUAUAAACCUAUCAGUGUCUUGCAUAACACCAGGUGGUGAUGAGGGUGUGAAGAAAAAUGAAGUAGGAUGCUUGGGGCUGGACUGUGAGAGGGUUGGGGGAAAGGCAGCUUCUAUUUGAGGGAUGAUCAGAGAAGGCCUUUCUAGGGAGACCAUGUUUGAGCAGAGAAGCUCCGGCGAAAGUGUUCCAGGCAGAAAGUAGAGCAAGUGCAAAAGCCCUGAGGCAGGAAUGAGCUUGGUGGGCCUGAGGGACAGUGAGAGGAAGUCCGUAUUCCUGGAGCAGAAUGGAAGGAAGUGAUGACUGAUGAGAAGGCUGGAAAAGUGGUAGGAGUUGGAUCAAAUCAGAUCCAGCUGCUUACCAAGACAUGAGGAAACUAUUGUUUUUUUAUUUGUUUGGUUGGU
Sus scrofa (pig) is the source of this 825-nucleotide non-coding RNA. The record is from RefSeq and is a predicted model, not a curated record. Lineage: Eukaryota; Metazoa; Chordata; Mammalia; Artiodactyla; Suidae.